Oncorhynchus keta (chum salmon) is the source of this 978-nucleotide long non-coding RNA. RefSeq lists it as uncharacterized. The record is from RefSeq and is a predicted model, not a curated record. NCBI's taxonomy places the organism in Eukaryota, Metazoa, Chordata, Actinopteri, Salmoniformes, Salmonidae. The transcript has 3 exons.
AUUGCUGGGAGGUUUUCUGUCACAGAUGUGUAGCUGAAUCAGUGGAUCAACAUCUCAUUCAAUCCGUAUCACUGAAGUUCAGCGUUAUACGCUAAUUAAAUGUAAAGGCAAUUCCUGUUUGAGCUGACAUAUGUAGCAGCUUUUACCGUGAAUGCGGUCUUUGCUGAUGUGGGAACAUUUUUUAAAAUGUAGAUUGCGCUGUAGCGCUGCUCUUCAGCGAUACGGAUUGAAUUGAGCCCUUAAGUUCUUUAAAAUGCACGAAUACACGUACACUCACACACAUUCUUUAAGUUUUUUGAUUUCUAUUCAUGUGGUAAAGUCCACAAAUCAGAGUACGUCUGCUAAUGCUUUUACAAACUGGUCAAACAAGGACCCCUGCUGGUAGGAAGAUUAAACUGUGCUGGGCAUGUCAAUCUAUAGAUUCAUAUAAAGUAGUCUACGUUUUCCUUCUUUGAGUUAUAAAUAUUUUAUCAUGUUUUAAAACAAAGCGUAAAUGAGAUGUUAUUCAGAGCACUGAUGUUUUGUCCAAAUCCUCUCUGUAUUACAGGUUUAAUAUACGAAUCAUCUCUGUAUUACAGGUUUAAUAUACGAAUCCUCUCUCUCUUACAGGUUUAAUCUACAAAUCCUCUCUGUAUUACAGGUUUAAUAUACAAAUCCUCUCUGUAUUACAGGUUUAAUAUACAAAUCCUCUCUGUAUUACAGGUUUAAUAUACAAAUCCUCUCUGUAUUACAGGUUUAAUCUACAAAUCCUCUCUGUAUUACAGGUUUAAUCUACAAAUCCUCUCUGUAUUACAGGUUUAAUCUACAAAUCCUCUCUGUAUUACAGGUUUAAUCUACAAAUCCUCUCUGUAUUACAGGUUUAAUCUACAAAUCCUCUCUGUAUUACAGGUUUAAUAUACAAAUCCUCUCUGUAUUACAGGUUUAAUAUACAAAUCCUCUCUGUAUUACAGGUUUAAUCUACAUGUGCUUUAUGAUUCA